Molecule: ribosomal RNA, 253 nt
Filed under: uncultured bacterium
Lineage: Bacteria
Description: partial 16S ribosomal RNA
Rfam family: Bacterial small subunit ribosomal RNA
Source: RNAcentral
UACGGGGGGGGCAAGCGUUGUUCGGAAUUACUGGGCGUAAAGGGCUCGUAGGCGGCCAACUAAGUCAGACGUGAAAUCCCUCGGCUUAACCGGGGAACUGCGUCUGAUACUGGAUGGCUUGAGUUUGGGAGAGGGAUGCGGAAUUCCAGGUGUAGCGGUGAAAUGCGUAGAGAUCGGCAGGAACACCCAGGGGGAAACCAGUGGACUGGGCAGGAGCUGACGCUCAGGUGCGAAAGCGUGGGGAGCGAACAGG